AUUGAACGCUGGCGGCAUGCCUAACACAUGCAAGUCGAACGGUAACAGGCCCUUCGGGGUGCUGACGAGUGGCGAACGGGUGAGUAAUACGUAGGAAUCUGCCCAGUAGUGGGGGAUAAC
This 120-nucleotide ribosomal RNA is filed under the name uncultured bacterium. RNAcentral describes it as "partial 16S ribosomal RNA". It matches the Rfam family "Bacterial small subunit ribosomal RNA", at positions 30 to 147 of the family's 1533-position model. The record is from RNAcentral.